This 11333-nucleotide long non-coding RNA is filed under the name Malus domestica (apple). RNAcentral's name for it is "long non-coding RNA (MDOM_LNC003195)". The record is from RNAcentral. Lineage: Eukaryota; Viridiplantae; Streptophyta; Magnoliopsida; Rosales; Rosaceae.
UUUUCUUUUUUUUAUUGGUUGUAUUUGUUUUUGCUAUAGUUAAAAUACAGUUUUGUCAAGGCCACGUGUCUCGCGAGGUACUUUGUCUGGGUUAUAUUUUCUCCUUUUUUGUUUCCUCUCAUUUCCAUCUUUGCUUCGCGGUCGCUCUCAGAGCUUAAAUUCUUUUCGCCUCCAAAAAUUUCUGCUUCGGGUUGUCGCAAAUUUUGGUCCUGUUGGUUUCAAUCGGUGCUUUCUGUGGUUCUCCAGCCUGCGGUUGCUCGGAAAAUACGAAAUCAAUGUAAGGUUUUUCUGAUUUUUAGUUUGGUUGGAAGAAAGAGUUCUCUUUUGUUGUGUCUGAAGAUAUCAAAAACUAAAUCUUUUUCUUUUCCUUAAUUUUUUAACCCAGAUCAUGUUAUGGGUUAUGAUGAGAGAUUAAAUUGGGUUUGGGAGUUAUUUUAACCCAGAUCAUGUUAUGGGUUAUGAUUUGUUCUUUGAGUUUUUUUGUUUGCUUGAUCUCUUAUAUGAAUAUGUUUUCUUCUUUGUCUGUAAUCGUGGUUAUUAAAGUGAUGUGUGUUUGUGUAUGCUGCAGAUCCAAUGUAUUGAAAAUGCUUGCAGUGAUGAGGGGAUGUGCCUGAUAAGGUAAUGGAUUUAAAAUUUUUAAUCUGAUGUUAGUUUUCUUUUUCAUUCUGUAUCCAUGACUUCAUGGUAUUAAAUUGUUGUUGGAAACUGAAAUAAAGCUGAAAAUAUCAUCUGGUUUGUGCAGCAAUUGAGUUUACACAUUUUGGAUUUCUUUCCUUGUUUAAAUAUUGUUGCAUACUUCUUUCGUCCAGAUAGUGUAAUGUGCGGACAGUGUGUGAGUUGAAUAGUUAUAUACUAGUAAUAGAGCCCGCGCGUUGCUGCGGGUUUUAAAAGUGUAAAACAUACAAUAAGUUCUAUACAUAAGUAUGAUCAUAUUAGGUGUUGAACAUUGGAGUUUACAUUCCUGUUUACAGCUAUAUUUACAUACAUACACUAAUUAGCACUAUUUAAAUUUCGUUGACUGUCACUUUAGAACUUCAUUGUUUUAUUUUUCACAAUAUACAUGCUUCUCUAAUAAAAAUAAGAAAAAAACAGAAGUUGUUAAUAUAAAUGAAAAUUCAAGUGAGCAGGUAAAGCCAAGCAUAUAUAUAUAUAUAUAUAUAUAGUAUUUACAGUCAGAACAUAUCAAUGGUCCAACUAUUGUGGAGCUCGAAUUUAUAUAAGAAAGGACCAAUCCAAUCAUAAUUAAAAUGAAAACAUGUAAGUAAUUAAGAAUUAUUACUUGCUAAAGAAAUCCGAACAGCCAGUUCCUUCUUAUUGCUUCAGGGACUAUUCAAUUGAACCAAAUCUGAUCAAAUUGCAUCACCCAACCAAACAAACAAAAAUAAAGUUAAAAAGGAAAAUCAGGGGAGCUAAGGAAAAUUUUGAAAACUCACCAAGAACCAAAAUGAUAUAGGAGUUCUAACUUUCUAUCAUUUUCCUUAUUCAUUUUGAAAGUGAAAAAUUCGUACUCUUUACUUUACCCAAGCAUUGAACUGUUAUACAUUUAAUAACAAAAACUGACCUUGAUUGGGACCAAUAGAGUGCUUGAUCAUCACAUUGCUGAGUUUUAUAAGAUCUUUCAUGUUUACAGCAUGUUUAUAACUAAAUUCAUAAAAACACUCAACAUCUACAUUGGAAUGGAAUGCAAACUGUGAAUCACUAUUCACAAAGCACGCAAAAACUGAAAAGAAUACGUUAAACAGAUAAAUCAAACUUUCUAAAGAAGAAAAACAAAAAACACACCUGUAAGUAAAACAACACAAAAGAGAGUGCUCCACCAUCACAUCUUUUAACAUGGAUUUCUUUUUACAUUGGUAACCAUUGUUCCUACCAUCUAACUUCUCCAAAUUGUCACCUAUUUUCGAAAGAAAAAUUCGAGAGUCCAAUAACUUCUUAUCUUUCCAUCGUUUUCCUUCUUCAUUCCCAAACCAAACAAUUUCCACUCUUUACUUUACCCAAGUAUUGAACUUUUAUAGAUUCAAUAAGAACACUAACCUCCAUUGGAACCAAGAGAGUGCUCCACCAUCACAUCACUGAGUUUUAUAAGAUCCUCCAUGUUGACAGAAUGUUCAUAACUAAAUUCACGUAAAGGCUCAACGUUCUACAUUAGAAUACAAUGCAACACUGUAAAUUACAAACAACAGAACUCGAAAAAACUAAAAAGGAUAUGGUAAUGCAUCAUUGGCAGCAUCCAAAUUGACAACUCGAUGAAAUGGUCAAUGCAAACAUUAUAUACAGAUUCAAAAACAAAAAUUGAAGCCAUGAAAAAACUUAAAACCCCACAAAAAAACCAAAAUCUUAUAGGGGCUUCCUUAUAUUAAUCACACAACGAAAUUAUGAACAACAAAACAUGAAAAAAUUGAAAAGGAUAUGACAAUGCAUCGUUGGCAAGAUCCAGAUUGACAACUGCAAUUUUCUGCAAGCCGAAACGAUGAAAUGGUCAAUGUAAACAUUACAGAUAGAUUUAAAAACAAAAUUGAAGCUAACGAAAAACUUGAAAACCCACAAAAAACCAAAAUCUUAUAGGAGUCCUAUUUUUCCAUCAUUUUUCUACUUCGAAAUAAAAUAGAAAACUCUAAUUUGAGUGCCUACACAUAUAAACAUCGGAUAAAAAUCAUAAAAAAAAUUCAAAACAACUGCAGAGAUAACAAAAAUGAUAAAAAAAAAACACCAUAAAAAUUUUCAAUCAAAAGUUUAAGACACUUUUAACUCACAGGAAGCUCUGUAACUAGUUGCUAGUAGCUGCACAGUGAAAAGACGACUUUGCUGCAAAAUAAUUAACGUAAGAAAUAGUUUAGUAUAACUUAAAACACUUUGGGAAGAUCAUGGGUAUAAUUGUCAUAUACCAAUUGAUUCAUAAAUUGUGCCUGUCCAACCAAGAAAAGCACCUACCUAUAUGCACUAUGGUAUGGCAGACUUUUCAUGUGCUCUAGAUUCAUCAUUUGCAAAAUAUGCAUCUGUCGAACAACAUAAGUCAAUAGAACCUUAUCUUAACGGAAAAAAGAAACUACAAAAUUUGAACUUCUAGCUAAAAGGCAUUCAUUAAUUUCUUUAUAUCAUUUGAAUAAAAAAUUAUUGCACACAAUGAAUGUAUCCAGUUCACUACAGAUUAGUAACCCAUUCUAAUUUGGUCAACAUGAUCGAAUAUGUGUGCGCGUAUAUAUAGCCAUUAUAUGCAAAUCCCUAACAGAUUGAAGUGAUCUCUUAAAACUUGAUCUGGCCAAUGACUCUGGCAGUCCAUCAGACAAAUUAGAUGGUUUAGUACGUGCUCGAUCUCUACUCCUAUAUCAAUAUUGUGUAGUGUGGAAACUUUAUCUCAGGAAACCUCAAUAUGCAUGAGAUAUAACAUUUGAAUCAAGAAUUCACAGAUACAAAAACUACUUAAAAUAAUUUUGAAAGUAAGUAAAAAAAAUCUGUUGUAUGCCUAUUACCUUCGCCGACCCAAAAAAGGUUGGAAAUAUGCUUGAAAUUGGCCGGGAAAAACUCGCAUCUUCGUUGGAAAAACCCACCCACAAGCUGGGCUAAUUGAACUCUUCGAUCGAGGGGUAGAUUCGAGCAUGCAAAGCUCGAAUGUUGUUGUUUUCGCUGGAGAAUAGCAAGGGGAAAAGGAGAGAAGGGAUAAGGAAGGAUAAAAAAAAAAAAAAUAGUGCAUAUUAAUUUGAUCCAGGGACAUAAUUAGAAUAAGGCUAAAACGGAGAGGCUCGCCCAAAACAUAAGAAAUACCUGCAUAAAAGUAUUAACACACACAAAUAAUCUCAUUUGAAUCUCAUAUCAUGUGUCGCAAGCCAAAACAAAAUAUUUGAAAUUCAGACCAACCAAAACAAACAAAAGUUAAUUACCAUGAAAGAUUAUCACAAAAUCGCAAGACCCAGACAAUCGAGCGGGUUCUACGGGGUGGAAGAAAGCACAAAGGCUAUUGCCACGGUGGAGCAAAUUGCAGAAGGCAGGGUAGAGAAGACGUCAUCGAGAGAACUCGAGAAUGGCGAAUGGAGGGGAUACCCCUUCUGAGAUCAGCGAAUAGAAACAAAUGAGUUUUUUCGACUGCUUUCCUCGCCUUUCCACCGUUUUUUUUUUCCCGAUGACCAACACGUGUAGACGUGGGGCAGAACCCGAUGACUAACAUGUGUAGACGUGGGGCAGAAAAAAAAAUCAAUUGUAGGAAAUGGCGAGAGAAAAGCAAAACAAAAGGCAGAGAAUGAAACAGCAGAGAAAUGGAACAGAAAAGGCCGCGAUGAAGAACGUGUUAAAUCCCACCCCCAUUUUAUUUAAAAAUGGUUUUUAGUUCUUAAUUGGUGAGCCAAGGGGCCCACCCUUUUAUUUUUGUAUCCCCCGUGACCCUCUCCUUUCCCUCUUUCCCUCUUUCUUCGUCUCAACCCUCUCGUGCAUCUCUCUCUCCCUCUCUCCCUCAAGCUCUCGUCUCUCUCUCUCCCCCUGGAUUCUCGAAGACCUUAGCACCAUCAGGAGGGACUCCCCACGAAGCAGGGACCCCUGCCCUGCGAGGUAAACGGCACGGAGCAAAGCUCCGACGAGUUUUCUUCCUUUUUCAGUAGGGGUAAGUCUCUAAUCUCUCACUCUCGUACCUAGCUAAAUGUUUGGUCGUGAUUUAUAAGCGUGAACCUUCCAUUUUUACGUAGGUUUUACCUUGGAAACGUUUUGGGUGAGCACACCCAUUUUUCCGGCGAACCCGUGCACUCCGAGGGCUUUUCCGGUCACCUCCGACCGAGUUACGGUGUUUGGAAGGUAGAAAUCUCUUCCUCUCUCUUUGUUCUUCAUUUCCGUACCUAGAUCGGAGCUUGAAGCCCCCAUUUUCAGGUGACCGGAGCUGUAGCAGCUCCGGCCUUCUUCUUCCUCGGCACCAGGCCGUCUGGCCUCUCCCAUUUCCUCCUCGGGCCUUAGGCCCGUGUGGUCUUAAACCCAAAUCCCCAGCCCCUUUUUCUUUUAAUUUUGUUAGUUUAGUUUUUAAAAACCCAAUGGGCUCGGGCCCUAGUUUUGUGAGGCCUUGGGCCGGUUUAAUUAAAGGGCUUAAGCCCUAUCUUUUUUUUUAUAAGGCCUUAAGGCCUUUAUAUUUUGGUGGUGUGUGUGUGUGUGUGUGAUUAGGCAUGCACAUGCAUGCUGUGCAUGUGUGUGUGUGUUUGUUGAAUAUAUGUUUGGGCUUAAGCCCAAACUCCUUUCUUUCACCCUAAUAACCUUUUAACCCAAAACCCUAAACCCAUCCAAUCCCAAUCCCCUAUUUUAAUUUAAUUCAAACCAAAUCUUUUAGAAAAUCCUUUAUUUAUUAAUUAUACAUUCUUGUUCUUAGGUAAAAUUGUUAGUGGAGAAAUUCUAAAUCCUUAUUCGCGCGACUCUUCUGCUAAGGAAUAUUUGUGAGUGGACCCCUUCUAAAAUUACAUGAUUUGAUAAUUUAAUUGCAUAAAUGAUUAGCAUGCCUACGGAUUUAUGAUUUGAUUUAUGUGAAGCCUGAUGAUUUAAUAUAUUGAUUAUCGUCUCGUGUUUUUGGUGAGGAAUUAAUUGUUGGCCUAUAUUGAGCUAUAUUUUAAUAUAUCGUAUUUUCUAUAAAAACCAUGAACUGGUAGACUAUCUGAUUGAUGAUGAUAGGAUGCUAGAACAUGAUUUUGAACCCUCUUUAUAGCGUAGACGAUAAUCGGUAACCUAUGCUACGAAGUGGUAUUUAUGAGAGGCGUAAAUAUUUGUGCGUACCUAGUAGACACUAUGCCGCCUGGGGCGAGGAUCUGGUGUUGGCAUGUAGGCCGGGAGAAAUAAUCCCUAGCGAAAGGCUGAGGGACACGGAGACAGGCAUUGGGCCGGGAGGGAGUUAUCUCUGGCUACGGGCACAGAGACUGAGGUGCGGGCAUUGGGCCGGGAGUUAUAUUUAUUCGGUGAUCUUACUAGCAGCACACCGCGUUUACGAGACGAUUUACGAGAUGUUUUACGCGAUGAUUUAUAUGAUGUUUUCCGCGUUAUGGCUUUUGAGAUAUUUUUGGCAUGCUAGGAUUUUUAUUAAAUCCAUCACUUAUUAUGCUAGUAGUUUUCAUUUAUAUAAACUUUGGGGGUUAGUAUCUUGAUAACUGUUUUAUUAUUAUUGUAUAUAUAAACUUGGUUCACUCACCUUUGUUUUGCGCCCCCAUUCAGGACUUAGAAUCAAGGCACCUAAUCCCGACGUGAAGACACUUCCGCAGCAGCAUCUUCGGAUCCUCUCGAUGUAGGACCCACUUCUUUAUUCAUUCAAUUUUAUCUCAAUUCUUUUUAGUGAUUAGGUUUAGUUGUAUGUUCUGAACACGUUCUUAAAAUUAUUAACUCUUAUUUAUUUCUUAUUCUUAGCUUUUGUAUCAAUUAAUGGCUUUCGUCACCCUCGGGUGUCGGCCAGCACGUGUCUAUCCUGGUAUUCGGGGAAUAUCAGGGUCGGGGCGUGUCAGAACGCAUGUCGAGCGAGGACAAAGUCGCCCUUUUCGACGAUGAUCGACGUGUGGACAGAAUGGACGUCAUUCCACUGUGUGGAGAAGGAAAAAUGGAGAACGACACCGAAGCAAAAGCAAAACGGAAGACAGACGCGUGGGCUAAAAGGGCAAAGGCGUCUUUUAGCUGUGUAAAAAAUGGAAAAAAUGGCUGAUAACAAAGGAAUUGAAGGGCAAUGCAGUCCGUUCACUGUUGGUGAACAGUGCACUCUUUCACAGGAUGAACAGUGAUUUUCUGCUGGGCUUUAGUAUAUAGAUAAUAUGGUUAAAUAAUAUGAUGUUAUGGCGCCUGUGGUUGGGUAUAUCAUGUCCAAUGUGAUACUGCGUGAGAAGAUCUUGGUUUUGUGGAGCCAUAAAUUUGUUGAAGUUGUUAGAGUUUCCUAGCCGUUAAGGUUAGGUCUCCUAGUUUGUAGGGUUGUUUCAGUUGCUGUUAAUAAGUCCUAGUCUUUCGGGAGAAGUUAUUUGAGUUUGAUUUAGUCUUGUACCACAUUGUUAGGGUUGUGAAAUGUGGGCUGCAUAUUUUUAGCUUUCAGUUCUCUUUGUAAGGCUAUUUAAAAGCCAUGUUUACACUUUGAAUAAACACAGAUAUUCUCCCAGGCAUUUGAGUGUUCUAGCAAAUAUAUGUUUACGUGAUCUUUUGUGAGUGUUCAACCUAGGGUUUCCAACAUCUGGUAUCAGAGCCCUACCACGGGGCCUGAUUGAAGUUAUUCUCAUCGUUUAAAACAGCGUCAUGACGACUGAAAGCAGUUUGUGCAACCUGCAAUCCCAAGGUUUGAUGGACACUAUGAUCAUUGGAGCAUGCUCAUGGGGAAUUUUUUGCGCUCCAAAGAAUAUUGGAGCUUGGUGGAGACUGUCAUUCCUGCAGUAGCAGAUGAGCGUGAUCUCACAGAUGGACAGAAGAAAACUAUUGAAGAUCAGCGACUAAAGGAUUUGAAGACUAAGAAUUACUUGUUCCAGGCCAUUGAUCGAUCAAUCCUGGAGACAAUAUUGAAGAAGGAUAUCGCGAAUGACAUCUCGGACUCCUUGAAGCAGAAGUACCAAGGCACGGCAAGAGUCAAGCGAGCAUAGUUACAAGCUCUUCGAAAGGAGUUUGAGAUUUUGCAUAUGAAGGAAGGGGAAUCAGUGAAUGAGUACUUUGCAUGUACUCUCACCAUAGCCAACAAGAUGAGGAUUCAUGGGGAAAAAAUGGAAGAUGUUGUGGUCAUCGAAAAGAUUAUGCGAUUAAUGACUUCUAAAUAUGACUAUGUGGUAUGUUCCAUCGAAGAAUCAAAUGAUCUCGACAUCCUAUCCAUCGAUGAAUUGCAAAGCAGCCUGCUUGUACAUGAACAAAGGAUGGGGAGACACACAGCGGAUGAGCAUGCUCUAAAGGUGACUUAUGAUAUUCACCAAGGCGGGCGAAGGGGACGCAGCAGUUUCCGAGGAAGAGGACGAGGAAGGGGUAGAAAUGGCCCUGACAAGACUACCCUUGAAUGUUACCACUGUCAUGAACUUGGACAUUUUCAGUGGGAAUGUCCUAAGAAGGGGAAGGAUUCAAAAGGCUUUUAUGCAGAAACUAGUGAAGAAAUGUUAUUGAUGGCCUACAUGGAUAUCAAGGAGGAUGACAGGGAAGAAUUAUGGUUCUUGGACUCGAGAUGGAGCAAUCAUAUGUGUGGUAAGAAGGAGCUGUUCAUAGAUUUGGACGACACCUUCAGGAAGUCUGUGAAGCUGGGGAACAACUCAAGCUUAGACGUGCUAGGAAAGGGAAAUAUUCGAAUGGAGGUCAAUGGGAUCAUGCAAGUCAUUAUUUGAGUGUUCUUUGUACCGGACUUAAAAAAAAAUUUACUGAGCAUUGGUCAGUUGCAAGAGAAGGGUCUUUGCCAUUUUUAUCAAAAAUGGCAAGUGCAGGAUUUAUCAUCCAGAAAGAGGACUGAUUUAGGAGACCACAAUGGCAGAAAAUCGCAUGUUUAUCUUGCUGGCACGCACACAAUUACAAGGGCAGAAAUGUUUCAACGUGAUUACGGACGAUCAACAUCAACUAUGGCAUCGUAGAUAUGGACACUUGGGUUGGAGUGGUCUAAAAGUCCUUCAACAGAAGAGUAUGGUGAAGGGCUUACCAAAAUUCAAAACACACAUGCAAGUUUGUGAAGAAUGUUUGGUAGGAAAACAACAACGAGAUCCAUUUCCAAAUGAGAGUACGUGGAGAGCAUCUCAGAUUCUUCAACUCGUGCAUGCAGACAUAUAUGGGCCUAUCAAUCCAAUCUCCAACAGCAAAAAGAGGUAUCUAAUUAGUUUCAUUGAUGAUUAUAGUAGGAAAACAUAGGUGUACUAUUUGGUUGAGAAGUUAGAAGCUCUUAGUAUUUUCAAAAGUUUCAAGACUAGGGUUGAAAAGGAAACUAGUUCAAGCAUAAGGACCCUACGUACAGAUCAUGGGGGUGAAUUCACUUCCCUCGAGUUCACAGAUUUUUGCAACAUGCAUGGAAUUCAAAGGCAGUUGACAGCUGCUUACACUCCCCAGCAGAAUGGCGUCGCGGAGAGGAAGAAUCGAACCAUCAUGAACAUGGUUCGAAGCAUGCUUACAGAGAAGAAAAUUCCAAGAACUUUUUGGCCAGAAGCAGUUAAUUGGGCCAUUCAUGUGCUCAACAGAAGUCCAACCCUAGCAGUGAGGAAUAUGACGCCAGAAGAAGCCUGGAGUGGCUUUAACCAUCAGUGGAGCACUUCAGGGUUUUUGGUUGCUUAGCACACGUGCAUGUUCCUGAUAGCAAGAGAAUCAAGCUCGAUGACAAGAGUAUGACGUGUAUUAUACUCGGAGUCAGUGAGGAAUCCAAGGUCUAUCGUCUAUACAAUCCAGCUUCUAAGAAGAUAGUAAUAAGUUAGGAUUUUGUUUUUGAAGAAGACAAAGCUUGGGACUGGAGUGACCAUCACCAAGAAACAAUCAUGGCUGAUCUCGAGUGGGACAUGAAUGAAGAAGGAGAUCCGAGGAAUGAUGAGGCUGAUGAACCAACACUGGAGAGCGAGGAAUCAAAUCAUAAUGACCAUACUGAGAUGACUGCCAUCGAAGGACGAGUUAGACGACAACUAGUGUGGAUGAGAGAUUAUGUAAAUGGAGAAAGUCUCUCCGAGGAAGAUGUGAGUUACUUAGUUCUAUUCACUGAGUUUGAUCCCAUUACGUAUGAAGAGGCUAUGAAAAGUGACAAAUGGAAGAAGGCCAUGGAUUCAGAAAUUCAAGCAAUAGAGAGAAACAAUACAUGGGAGCUGAUAGAGAUGCCACCAGAAGGGAAAAUAGUUGGGGUAAAGUGGAUUUACAAAACUAAGUUCAACGAGAAAGGUGAAGUGGACAAGUACAAGGCUCGCCUGGUUGCAAAAGGGUAUAGCCAGCAAUAUGGAGUAGAUUAUGCAAAAGUGUUUGCACCUGUGGCACGAUUGGAUAUAGUUCGUGUCAUUCUAUCACUUGCAGCAAAGAAUGAUUGGACUGGGUACCAAUUAGAUGUCAAAUCAGCUUUCCUCCAUGGUGAAAUAAAUGAAGAAGUGUUCAUAGCGCAGCCUCCAGGUUAUGAACAAAAAGGGCAGGAGCAUAAAGUUUAUAAGCUUAAAAACGCUCUAUACGGUCUCAAACAGGCUCCUCGAGCCUGGUACAACUGCAUUGAGUCUUAUUUCAUGAAGGAAGGCUUCGAGAAGUGCCCACAUGAACAUACCUUGUUUGUCAAGAGAGUGAAUGGAGGUAAAAUGUUAAUUGUCUGCCUUUAUGUUGAUGAUCUUAUAUUCACUGGGAAUGAUGAGUCAAUGUUCAAAGAUUUCAAACAUUCAAUGAUGACUAAAUAUGCUCAAGAAGUGUUGGAGAGGUUUAAUAUGGACCAAUGUAAUGCAGUUCAUAACCCUAUUGUUCCUGGUUUCAAAUUGAUGAAGGAUGAAGAAGGAGUAGAAGUGGAUAGCACUCUGUACAAACGAAUCGUGGGCAGUCUUAUGUGCUUGACUACAACGCGACCAGAUAUGAUGUAUGUUAUUAGCCUGAUUAGUAGGUUCAUGGAACGACCUACUGAGCUGCAUCUUAAAGCAGCAAAAAGGGUGUUGAGGUACUUGAAGGGCACGGUGAAUUUUGUGUUGGUCUAUAAGAAGGGAGGAGGAGAAGAACUCUUCGAAUACACUGACAGUGAUUAUGCUGGAGAUCAGGAUGAUAGGAAGAGUACUUCUAGAUACGUUUUUAUGUUAAGUUCUGGGGCAGUUUCUUGGUCCUCAAAGAAACAACCGGUGGUCACGUGAUCUACCAUCGAAGCUGAGUUUAUAGUUGCAGCUUCAAGUGCAUGUCAAGCAGUUUGGUUAAGGAGGAUCUUGCAACAGCUCAAUCAUGAACCGCAUAAGUUUACAACCAUUUACUGUGAUAAUAGUUCUACCAUUAAACUCUCAAAGAAUCCAGUGAUGCAUGGGUGUAGCAAGCACAUAGAUGUUCGGUUCCACUUUCUUCGAGAGCUUACCAAAGAUGAGGUUGUAGAGUUGGCUCAAUGUUCUUUGCAGGAGCAGGUGGCAGACAUCAUGACCAAGCCUCUGAAGCUGGACGUGUUUCAGAAAUUGCGGGGGUUGUUGGCUGUUCAUUCACUCGUGGAUAUAAACUGAUUGCUGAUAGCAUUCAGUUUAAGGGAGGAUGUUGAAGUUGUUAGGGUUUCCUAGCUGUUAGGGUUAGGUCUCCUAGUUUGUAGGGUUGUUUCAGUUGCUGUUAAUAAGUCCUAGUCUUUAGGGAUAAGUUAUUUGAGUUUGAUUUAGUCUUGUACCACGUUGUUAGAGUUGUGAAACGUGGGCUGCAUAUUUUUGGCUUUCAGUUUUCUUUGUAAGGCUAUUUAAAAGCCAUGUUUACACUUUGAAUAAACACAG